AAUAGAUACCCGGGUAGUCCACGCCGUAAACGAUGAGUGCUAGGUGUUAGGGGGUUUCCACCCCUUAGUGCUGCAGCUAACGCAUUAAGCACUCCGCCUGGGGAGUACGGUCGCAAGACUGAAACUCAAAGGAAUUGACGGGGGCCCGCACAAGCGGUGGAGCAUGUGGUUUAAUUCGAAGCAACGCGAAGAACCUUACCAGGUCUUGACAUCCCGCUGACCGUCAUGGAGACAUGGCUUUCCCUUCGGGGACAGCGGUGACAGGUGGUGCAUGGUUGUCGUCAGCUCGUGUCGUGAGAUGUUGGGUUAAGUCCCGCAACGAGCGCAACCCUUGUCCUUAGUUGCCAUCAUUCAGUUGGGCACUCUAAGGAGACUGCCGUACAAAUACGGAGGAAGGUGGGGAUGACGUCAAAUCAUCAUGCCCCGUAUGACCUGGGCUACACACGUGCUACAAUGGGCAGUACAAAGGGCUGCAAACCCGGCGAGGGGGAGCGAAUCCCAAAAAGCUGCUCUCAGUUCGGAUUGCAGG
RNAcentral lists this ribosomal RNA (529 nucleotides) under uncultured bacterium. RNAcentral describes it as "bacterial SSU rRNA". It matches the Rfam family "Bacterial small subunit ribosomal RNA", at positions 777 to 1304 of the family's 1533-position model. The record is from RNAcentral.